UGUGCACUUCCUCUACAGCUUUCAGAGCCUAUCUCAUGAGGGUUGGUUUAGCAAUCACAAGAUAAUAUUAUCUGGAAGUUAGUUACUUGGCGUCUUAGUUUCAGCUGCUGUAACUGAGUACCAUGGGCUGGAGGCUUGAGUGGCAAAUACUUACUUCUCACAGUCAUGGAGGCUGGAAGUCUAAGAUCAGAGAGCUGGCAUGCUUGUGUCCUGGUGAGAGCCUCUUUCAGAUACUUCCUGACGGUUCUUGAAAGAACUUCACUCAUGGAUCCCAGCCCCUCCAUGGUCUCAGCCCCUGCAGUGGAGCAGAAGGAACACACACGGGCCAGGUGCAUCCUUCCUCUCAGAAAGCAGACCCGGGAUGUGAGCUGAGUGUCCCACGACCACAUCGCACCCACUUCCGCAUCCUUAAACCAUGUACGGGCGUCUCACCCAACAGGUCAGCAAUUAAAAGUCCCCUCUGCCCCGCCUUUCUGAGCAGCAUCUUCUCAGCGCUCCAGUCCAUGCGUCCUGGAUCUUUUUUAUUGUUGACCUGUUUCAGAGCCUUCGCAGAUCCAAGCAAGGCCUCACCACUCUGCUUGGGCUUUUGGAGGACAGUUGGUACUUGAACUCCUGUCCCAGUGAAUCAGCUGCUCUGUGCAUUUGACACGUCAUUCUGCUGGCAUGUGUAUGGUUGAAUGUUAUCCUUGCUGUGGUUUUUGGCACUUCCAGGCUGGAGGAGCAAAAAGAAGAAUCGCUUUCUUUUGUCCUGUCUGCUCUUCUCAGCUCUGCCACAAGACCCUUUUGUUCAGACAAGAACAGCCACUGUGGACGGAUACAUGGUGCCCCAGGGAUGGGCUGGACUCUUCAAUUUCUGGCCAGUUGAUGACUCAGUUUCCUUAACUGUAAAAGGAAGGCCCUCCCAAGGCCCUCCAAGUAGCCCUCCUUCUGGCCACUUGGGCUGGAUGUCAGUUUUGGAUUGAAUGCGUUCUGCUUCCAGCACAUGUUCUAAAAGUACAUGUUUGUUGAAAUAAGCUCUUCUUGUCAUUUCUUAUUUUCUCCUUGAAGUGUGUCAAUGAAAAGAAAACAAAUAAAAACAGAAAGCAAAGUUGUUGUUCA
Long non-coding RNA from Dama dama (fallow deer), 1098 nucleotides. RefSeq lists it as uncharacterized. The record is from RefSeq and is a predicted model, not a curated record. The transcript has 2 exons. Lineage: Eukaryota; Metazoa; Chordata; Mammalia; Artiodactyla; Cervidae.